UACAGAGGGUGCGAGCGUUGUUCGGAAUUAUUGGGCGUAAAGGGCGCGUAGGCGGCGCCACAAGUCACUUGUGAAAACUCUGGGCUCAACUCAGAGCCUGCAAGCGAAACUGUGGUGCUGGAGUAUGGGAGAGGUGCGUGGAAUUCCCGGUGUAGCGGUGAAAUGCUUAGAUAUCGUCAAGAACACCUAUUGCGAAGGCAGCUAACUAAGCUUAAACUGACGCUGAGGCACGAAAGUGUGGGGAUCAAACAGG
RNAcentral lists this ribosomal RNA (253 nucleotides) under uncultured bacterium. RNAcentral's name for it is "partial 16S ribosomal RNA". It matches the Rfam family "Bacterial small subunit ribosomal RNA", at positions 524 to 776 of the family's 1533-position model. The record is from RNAcentral.